UAACAUCAAUCAACAGUUCCUGUCCACAUUCAUGUGAAUAACUCAUAAUCAUAAUUGUGGUUCUAAAUUCCUCUUCUCAUCCAGGACAAAGAUAAUUUGUAUCACUUGUCUUUACCUGAAACAUCAAAGAUCAUGGUUAUACCAAAUCACAGUUCCUGUUUAUAAUCAUACUAAUAAAUUCAUCUUUGCUCUACGGGCCAAAGAUAUUCAUCAGCAGUUCAUCUUUGCACUACAGGCCAAAGAUAUUCUACAAUAGGUCAUCUUUGCACUACGGGCCAAAGAUAUUCAUCAAUAAUUCAUCUUUGCACUACAGGCCAAAGAUAUUAAUAUCUCAAAGAAAUACAUAAUCAUUUUAGAAUUUAUAUAAACCAUAAU
Molecule: long non-coding RNA, 375 nt
Filed under: Panax ginseng (ginseng)
Lineage: Eukaryota; Viridiplantae; Streptophyta; Magnoliopsida; Apiales; Araliaceae
Description: long non-coding RNA (PGIN_LNC008792)
Source: RNAcentral